RNAcentral lists this ribosomal RNA (303 nucleotides) under uncultured bacterium. Its description in RNAcentral is "partial 16S ribosomal RNA". It matches the Rfam family "Bacterial small subunit ribosomal RNA", at positions 507 to 807 of the family's 1533-position model. The record is from RNAcentral.
AGCAGUCGCCGCGGUAAAACGGAGGGGGCUAGCGUUGUUCGGAAUUACUGGGCGUAAAGCGCACGUAGGCGGCUUUGUAAGUCAGAGGUGAAAGCCCGGGGCUCAACCCCGGAAUUGCCUUUGAGACUGCAUCGCUUGAAUCCAGGAGAGGUGAGUGGAAUUCCGAGUGUAGAGGUGAAAUUCGUAGAUAUUCGGAAGAACACCAGUGGCGAAGGCGGCUCACUGGACUGGUAUUGACGCUGAGGUGCGAAAGCGUGGGGAGCAAACAGGAUUAGAUACCCCUGUAGUCCCUGUCUCUUAUAC